This 734-nucleotide long non-coding RNA is filed under the name Suricata suricatta (meerkat). Its description in RNAcentral is "lncRNA (ENSSSUG00005001117.1)". The record is from RNAcentral. Lineage: Eukaryota; Metazoa; Chordata; Mammalia; Carnivora; Herpestidae.
UGAAACAUGAGGUUUCAAUGUAUGAAUUCUGGGAGAAGGCAAACAUGCAGUCUGAAAAGCAGGAAGUAAGAAGAUGGAACUUUGCUAGGGGAAAGAACAUGAGCAGAAACAGAGGCAUGAGUGAGUAAUGGCAAGUUAGGAGGUGAGGCCAAUCAGUUCCACUGCUGUGGCCUGACAGUGACAGGAGUCGAUGGUAGGGGAUGUGUUUGGAUUUCUACGACUUAAGGAGCAGGAUAAAUCGGCCACCCAUUCUUUCACCUACCUGAGCCUGUUCAGAUUUCCUCUUUAUAAUGACUGUGUGCUGACCUUACCCUUCAGAAGAAUUUUUAAAAUCAACUAUAGUGGGGUGCUCUCUUUUGGAAUGGACAUUUUAAAUAUAAUCACCUGCAGUUGGCAUUCAUUUAAUAAAAUCUCUCCUCCUCGCUGGAUACGCAACGGCAUGUCUUACAGAAGUCAUACGUUAGGUUAAUAAAGCAAUUAUUUAAUUGACUUUAAUUUCAUUGGCAUUCCUAUUAGCUGAAGGAAAGGGGUUCAAUCACUGUUUACAUUUGUAAAGCCAAUAUUAUGGUUCAAAUUAUGGCCUUCGGAUGAAUUUGAAAAUUGAAGCCUGAUAAUCCUUAAAGCAAUAUUUACAGAGGACUCUUUGUCUUUGUAAAGAAUAAAGGGAAUGGAAACAAGAGCACAUUAAAUCAGAGGGGCUUUUAAAUAUUCAUUUUGCAAUCAGCUUCACCAGU